ACCCGCACAAGCGGUGGAUGAUGUGGUUAAUUCGAUGCAACGCGAAAACCUUACCCACCUUUGACAUGUACGGAACCUUUAGAGAUAGAGGGGUGCUCGAAAGAGAGCCGUAACACAGGUGCUGCAUGGCUGUCGUCAGCUCGUGUCGUGAGAUGUUGGGUUAAGUCCCGCAACGAGCGCAACCCUUGUCAUUAGUUGCUACAUUCAGUUGGGCACUCUAAUGAGACUGCCGGUGACAAGCCGGAGGAAGGUGGGGAUGACGUCAAGUCCUCAUGGCCCUUAUAGGUGGGGCUACACACGUCAUACAAUGGCUGGUACAAAGGGUUGCCAACCCGCGAGGGGGAGCCAAUCCCAUAAAGCCAGUCGUAGUCCGGAUCGUAGUCUGCAACUCGACUACGUGAAGUCGGAAUCGCUAGUAAUCGUGGAUCAGAAUGUCACGGUGAAUACGUUCCCGGGUCUU
RNAcentral lists this ribosomal RNA (460 nucleotides) under uncultured Rhodoferax sp. Its description in RNAcentral is "bacterial SSU rRNA". It matches the Rfam family "Bacterial small subunit ribosomal RNA", at positions 919 to 1382 of the family's 1533-position model. The record is from RNAcentral. Lineage: Bacteria; Pseudomonadati; Pseudomonadota; Betaproteobacteria; Burkholderiales; Comamonadaceae.